AACGAACGCUGGCGGCGUGCUUAACACAUGCAAGUCGCACGAAGUGGCGAACGGGUGAGUAAUACGUGGGUAACCUGCCCUCCUUUUUGGGAUAAGCCUUGGAAACGGGGUCUAAUACCGAAUAACGCGGGAUGGGCUCGCGGCCUAUCAGCUUGUUGGUGGGGUGCUGGCCUACCACGGAGGUGACGGGUCGCCGGCCUGAUAGGGUGACCGGCCACAUGGGGACGGAGAGACGGCCAAGACUGCUACGGGAGGCAGCAGUGGGGGAUAUGGCGCAAUGGGGGAAAGCCUGAUGCAGGGACGCCGCGUGGGGGAUGAAGGCGUUCGGGUUGUAAACCUCUUUCGAUAGCGAACGGGUAGGUGGAGAAAAAGCGCCGGCUAACUACGUGCCAGCAGCCGCGGUAAUAC
This 408-nucleotide ribosomal RNA is filed under the name uncultured bacterium. Its description in RNAcentral is "partial 16S ribosomal RNA". It matches the Rfam family "Bacterial small subunit ribosomal RNA", at positions 28 to 526 of the family's 1533-position model. The record is from RNAcentral.